Molecule: ribosomal RNA, 510 nt
Filed under: uncultured bacterium
Lineage: Bacteria
Description: partial 16S ribosomal RNA
Rfam family: Bacterial small subunit ribosomal RNA
Source: RNAcentral
GACGGACGCUGGCGGCGUGCCUAAUACAUGCAAGUCGAGCGAAUGACGAGAAGCUUGCUUCUCUGAUUUAGCGGCGGACGGGUGAGUAACACGUGGGCAACCUGCCCUACAGAUCGGGAUAACUCAGGGAAACCUGGGCUAAUACCGGAUAAUCCUUCGAGUCACAUGUUUUGAAGUUGAAAGGCGCUUCGGCGUCACUGUAGGAUGGGCCCGCGGUGCAUUAGCUAGUUGGUGGGGUAACGGCCUACCAAGGCAACGAUGCAUAGCCGACCUGAGAGGGUGAUCGGCCACAUUGGGACUGGGACACGGCCCAAACUCCGACGGGAGGCAGCAGUAGGGAAUCUUCCACAAUGGACGAAAGUCUGAUGGAGCAACGCCGCGUGAGUGAUGAAGGUUUUCGGAUCGUAAAACUCUGUUGUAAGGGAAGAACAAGUACGUUAGGAAAUGAACGUACCUUGACGGUACCUUAUUAGAAAGCCACGGCUAACUACGUGCCAGCAGCCGCAGUAA